UAGGGAGCUAGGUGAGAGGCAGGAUCAGACAGGCAAUCAUCAACAACAUACUCUGAAUUUAAGAAUGACCACCACACAGUAAGAGAACUGGAAUUUGGAGGAAAACUUCAGCUCUGAGAACUUUCACACAGAAAACUAACAAAGAAAUUCUGGACUUAAACUUGACACUUGCCCAGUUGGUCUUAAUAGACAUCUAAAGAAUACUCCACCCAACAACUACAGAAUAUAUAUUCGUCUCAUCUGCAGACACAACAUACUUUAAAAAUGACUGCAUGUUUGGUCAGAGAGUCUCAACAAAUUUGGAAAAAUUAAAAUUAUACCCAACAUAUUCUCAGGUCGAAUGAAAUGCAAAUAGAAAUUACUGCCAAGAGGAAUUCUCAAAACCACACAAAUACGUGGAAAUUAAACACAUUGAUCCUGAAUGACCUUUGUAAAGCAAGAAAAUUAAGGCAAAAAUCAAAAAAUUAUUUGAAAAAAACAAAAAUUGUGACACAGUGUAACAAAACCUGUGAUAUUGCAAAAGAAGUGAUAAGAUUUGUAGCACUAAAUGCCUACAUCAAGAAAAUAGAAAUAUCUUGUUAACAACCUAACAUUACACCUAAAGAAAUAGAGAAAGAAGAACUAAAUUCUAAAUGAAGAACCCAGUUCUAGCAGAAGAAAAGAAAGAAUUAAAAUCAGAACAGAACUAAGUGAAAUUGAGAUAAAGAAAACUAUUCAAAGGAUCAACAAAAUGAAAAGUUUGUUUUUUGAAAGGAUAAACAAAAUUGAUAGACUGCUAGAUAAACAAAGGAAAAAAAGAAGAUCCAAAUAAGCACAAUCAGAUAUGACAAAGGUAACAUUACAACUGAUCUCGCAGAAAUAUAAAAGAUCCUCAGAGAUUACUAUGAACAUCUCUAUGCACACAACUAGAAAAUCUAGAGGAAAUAGAUAAAUUCCUGGAAAUAUACAACCUCCCAAGAUUGAAUCUGGAAGAAAAAGACACCCUAAAGAGACCAGUAAUGAGUUACAAAAUUGAAUAAGUAAUAAUAAAAAACUUACUAACCAGAAAAGCACCGGACCAGAUGGAUUUACAGCCAAAUUAUACCAGAUGUACAAAGAAGGAGAAUGCUGAGAGAAAAGGUGCCUCUGAGCCCAUAGAACAUGUUCAAAGCAGAGCUCUUACCCGAAGCAAGAGAGAAAGACCACAGCAGGUAACAUCACAGCCACUGGCAGAGCCUGUGAUCCAGGCCUGUGGACCUCCACAUCAUUCCAUGAAAGUGACAUUUGAAGAUAAUACCUUGAUCAAACACUAAAAUGCAAAGAACCAGUAAUAAUUAUCCUGAAACAUAAAGAUGUAUGGAUCAGGGCAAUACACCAUUCAUAGUAGAAGAGCAGAGUGGAUCUGGGCGAUUUUCACAUCUGCAUUGGUUAAAGGUUUAUCAAUAUCUUAUUGAAGGAAACCAAAGUCCAAUUUGAGAAAUCACUGCAUUCCCUUUG
Molecule: long non-coding RNA, 1476 nt
Filed under: Homo sapiens (human)
Lineage: Eukaryota; Metazoa; Chordata; Mammalia; Primates; Hominidae
Description: HSALNT0302474
Source: RNAcentral